AUAAUGGUAUGUAGGAAUUUCGGACGCGGGUUCAACUCCCGCCAGCUCCACCA
This 53-nucleotide transfer-messenger RNA is filed under the name Salmonella enterica. RNAcentral describes it as "partial transfer-messenger RNA". It matches the Rfam family "transfer-messenger RNA", at positions 318 to 374 of the family's 374-position model. From Rfam's summary of the family: Bacterial tmRNA, also known as 10Sa RNA or SsrA, is named for its dual tRNA and mRNA-like properties. Its role is to liberate the mRNA from a stalled ribosome. To accomplish this part of the tmRNA is used as a reading frame that ends in a translation stop signal. Lineage: Bacteria; Pseudomonadati; Pseudomonadota; Gammaproteobacteria; Enterobacterales; Enterobacteriaceae. The record is from RNAcentral.